UAAGGAAUAUUGGUCAAUGGACGCAGGUCUGAACCAGCCAUGCCGCGUGAAGGAUGAAGGUCCUCUGGAUUGUAAACUUCUUUUAUCUGGGACGAAAACGGGAUUUUUAUCUCAAUUGACGGUACCAGAGGAAUAAGCACCGGCUAACUCCGUGCCAGCAGCCGCGGUAAUACGGAGGGUGCGAGCGUUAUCCGGAUUUACUGGGUUUAAAGGGUGCGUAGGUGGGCUUAUAAGUCAGUGGUGAAAUCUCCGAGCUUAACUUGGAAACUGCCUGUGAUACUAUAGGUCUUGAAUUAUCUGGAGGUAAGCGGAAUAUGUCAUGUAGCGGUGAAAUGCUUAGAUAUGACAUAGAACACNAAUUGCGAAGGCAGCUNACUACAUAUAAAUUGACGCUGANNCNCGAAAGCGUGGGGAU
This 415-nucleotide ribosomal RNA is filed under the name uncultured bacterium. RNAcentral describes it as "bacterial SSU rRNA". It matches the Rfam family "Bacterial small subunit ribosomal RNA", at positions 355 to 768 of the family's 1533-position model. The record is from RNAcentral.